UACAGAGGUCUCAAGCGUUGUUCGGAUUCAUUGGGCGUAAAGGGUGCGUAGGUGGCGCCGUAAGUCAGGUGUGAAAUUUCGGAGCUUAACUCCGAAACUGCAUUUGAUACUGCGGUGCUUGAGGACUGGAGAGGAGACUGGAAUUCACGGUGUAGCAGUGAAAUGCGCAGAUAUCGGGAAGAACACCAACGGCGAAAGCACUCUGCUGGGCCGACACUGACACUGAGAGACGAAAGCUAGGGGAGCGAAUGGG
RNAcentral lists this ribosomal RNA (253 nucleotides) under uncultured bacterium. RNAcentral describes it as "partial 16S ribosomal RNA". It matches the Rfam family "Bacterial small subunit ribosomal RNA", at positions 524 to 776 of the family's 1533-position model. The record is from RNAcentral.